Molecule: ribosomal RNA, 253 nt
Filed under: uncultured bacterium
Lineage: Bacteria
Description: partial 16S ribosomal RNA
Rfam family: Bacterial small subunit ribosomal RNA
Source: RNAcentral
UACGUAGGGUGCGAGCGUUAUCCGGAAUUAUUGGGCGUAAAGGGCUCGUAGGCGGUUUGUCGCGUCUGCCGUGAAAGUCCGGGGCUCAACUCCGGAUCUGCGGUGGGUACGGGCAGACUAGAGUGAUGUAGGGGAGACUGGAAUUCCUGGUGUAGCGGUGAAAUGCGCAGAUAUCAGGAGGAACACCGAUGGCGAAGGCAGCUCGCUGGGACGGUACUGACGCUGAGGCGCGAAAGCGUGGGGAGCGAACAGG